UACGUAGGGUGCGAGCGUUAAUCGGAAUUACUGGGCGUAAAGUGUGCGCAGGCGGCCGAGCAAGUCGGGUGUGAAAGCCCAGGGCUCAACCCUGGAAAUGCGCCCGAAACUGUCGAGCUUGAGUGCGGGAGAGGGAAGCGGAAUUCCUGGUGUAGAGGUGAAAUUCGUAGAUAUCAGGAGGAACACCGGUGGCGAAAGCGGCUUCCUGGCCCGAUACUGACGCUCAUGUACGAAAGCGUGGGGAGCAAACAGG
RNAcentral lists this ribosomal RNA (253 nucleotides) under uncultured bacterium. Its description in RNAcentral is "partial 16S ribosomal RNA". It matches the Rfam family "Bacterial small subunit ribosomal RNA", at positions 524 to 776 of the family's 1533-position model. The record is from RNAcentral.